Molecule: ribosomal RNA, 300 nt
Filed under: Balanus crenatus
Lineage: Eukaryota; Metazoa; Arthropoda; Thecostraca; Balanomorpha; Balanidae
Description: partial 12S ribosomal RNA
Rfam family: Microsporidia small subunit ribosomal RNA
Source: RNAcentral
GGCGGCAAGAUAGCCAUUUAGAGGAACCUGCCCUAUAAACGAUGAACCACGAAAUACCCUACUUUUAUUUGUAAUACAGUUUGUAUACCGCUGUUGACAGUCAGUUUCUUUAGAAAACUUUCAAUCAUGAAAAAAUCAUAGACUUCAAGUAAAGGUGCAGCUAAUGUAAAAGAUAGAGGUGGGUUACAUUUAUUAGAAUAAAACGGAUAAAGCUUCUGAAAUAGCUUUUGAAGGUGGAUUUAAAUGUAAAGUUUUAAUAGACUUGAUGAGAGCUCUGUCUUGUGUACACACCGCCCGUCG